This 449-nucleotide unclassified non-coding RNA is filed under the name Hevea brasiliensis (rubber tree). Lineage: Eukaryota; Viridiplantae; Streptophyta; Magnoliopsida; Malpighiales; Euphorbiaceae. The record is from RNAcentral.
CGACUUAGUUGAUGGUCCGCAACCUAUGGAAGUAGCACCAGCAGAAACAGCAAGUGCAGUUGAUGCGCAGUCAGUGGAUGAUCCACCAUCAGCAAGGUUCACGUGGACGAUUGAUAGUUUUUCAAGGCCCAAUAGCAAGAAGCUCUAUUCUGAUAUUUUUGUUGUUGGAGGCUAUAAAUGGCGGAUUCUGAUUUUCCCAAAGGGAAACAAUGUGGAUCAUUUGUCCAUGUAUCUGGAUGUUGCAGAUUCUGCAACUUUGCCAUAUGGGUGGAGUAGAUAUGCGCAGUUCAGCUUGUCUGUUGUCAAUCAAAUUCAUCAAAAAUACUCAAUCCGGAAAGACACGCAGCACCAAUUCAAUGCACGGGAGAGUGAUUGGGGCUUCACUUCAUUCAUGCCUCUCGGGGAAUUGUAUGACCCUGGAAGAGGUUAUCUUGUUAAUGACACAUGCA